Molecule: ribosomal RNA, 409 nt
Filed under: Fusobacteriota bacterium
Lineage: Bacteria; Fusobacteriati; Fusobacteriota
Description: Fusobacteria bacterium partial 16S ribosomal RNA
Rfam family: Bacterial small subunit ribosomal RNA
Source: RNAcentral
UGGGGAAUAUUGCACAAUGGAGGGAUCUCUGAUGCAGCAACGCCGCGUGCGGGAUGACGGCCUUCGGGUUGUAAACCGCUUUCAGCCAUGACGAAGCUUUUGUGACGGUAGUGGUAGAAGAAGCACCGGCUAACUACGUGCCAGCAGCCGCGGUGAUACGUAGGGUGCGAGCGUUGUCCGGCAUUAUUGGGCGUAAAGAGCUUGUAGGCGGUUUGUCGCGUCGAAAGUGUAAACUCAGUGCUUAACGCUGAGCCUGCUUUCGAUACGGGCUGACUAGAGGAGGGUAGGGGAGAAUGGAAUUCCCGGUGGAGCGGUGGAAUGCGCAGAUAUCGGGAGGAACACCAGUGGCGAAGGCGGUUCUCUGGACCUUUCCUGACGCUGAGAAGCGAAAGCGUGGGUAGCAAACAGG